This 465-nucleotide ribosomal RNA is filed under the name uncultured bacterium. Its description in RNAcentral is "bacterial SSU rRNA". It matches the Rfam family "Bacterial small subunit ribosomal RNA", at positions 330 to 793 of the family's 1533-position model. The record is from RNAcentral.
UCCAGACUCCUACGGGAGGCAGCAGUGAGGAAUAUUGGUCAAUGGCCGAGAGGCUGAACCAGCCAAGUCGCGUGAGGGAUGACGGCCCUACGGGUUGUAAACCUCUUUUGCCGGGGAGCAAAGAGCGGGACGCGUCCCGCCUCGAGAGUACCCGGAGAAAAAGCAUCGGCUAACUCCGUGCCAGCAGCCGCGGUAAUACGGAGGAUGCGAGCGUUAUCCGGAUUUAUUGGGUUUAAAGGGUGCGUAGGCGGGCUUUUAAGGCAGGGGUAAAAAUUCGGGGCUCAACCCCGUCCGGCCGUUGAAACUGGCAGUCUCGAGUUGGAGAGAAGUAUGCGGAAUGCGCGGUGUAGCGGUGAAAUGCAUAGAUAUCGCGCAGAACUCCGAUUGCGAAGGCAGCAUGCCGGCUCCACACUGACGCUGAGGCACGAAAGCGUGGGUAUCGAACAGGAUUAGAUACCCUCGUAA